UGAUGCAGCAACGCCGCGUGAGCGAUGAAGGCCUUCGGGUUGUAAAGCUCUGUCUUUGCUGACGAAUAAAUGACGGUAAGCAAGGAGGAAGCCACGGCUAACUACGUGCCAGCASCCGCGGUAAUACGUAGGUGGCAAGCGUUGUCCGGAAUUACUGGGCGUAAAGAAUGCGUAGGCGGCUUUUUAAGUGGGAUGUGAAAUCCCUGGGCUCAACCCAGGAACUGCAUUCCAAACUGGAAGGCUAGAGUGCGGGAGAGGAAAUUGGUAUUCCCAGUGUAGCGGUGAAAUGYGUAGAGAUUGGGAGAACACCAGUAGCGAACGCGAAUUUCUGGAACGUAACUGACGCUGAGGCAUGAAAGCGUGGGGAGCANACAGGAUUAGAUACCCUGGUAGUCC
RNAcentral lists this ribosomal RNA (396 nucleotides) under uncultured bacterium. Its description in RNAcentral is "bacterial SSU rRNA". It matches the Rfam family "Bacterial small subunit ribosomal RNA", at positions 384 to 796 of the family's 1533-position model. The record is from RNAcentral.